RNAcentral lists this long non-coding RNA (6499 nucleotides) under Homo sapiens (human). Its description in RNAcentral is "non-protein coding lnc-TUFM-3:4". The record is from RNAcentral. Lineage: Eukaryota; Metazoa; Chordata; Mammalia; Primates; Hominidae.
AUUGGCUACGGCCGGGGACCCCUUCCCGCAGCAGACUCCCCAUUGGCUGAAGCCGGGGACCGCGAGACCCUUCGUGAUCUAGCAUUCCUGGAGGAAGGGCAUGUACCAUUAAACUCCGCCAUUUUGCCUCUUGGUGCAUAAGCUUGAGCCCAUUUACCCAACUUCUGAGAUCUUAUCGAGAAGCUGCUGAUCAUCAGUUUCAAGUGUUUUCCAUCUAUUUGGAGACUGCCUUUCCCUGGUGCUGGCUGCAACCAAUUACUAUUUUAGAGACAAGUUUAACAACCACCUGACCAUCACCUGAUGGUUGCCUAACAUUCCUGGUGGUGGGGUUGGGGCAGCACUCCUGCCCCAACAAUGGGAAUGUUGUCUUAUCGUGUGCAAUUUAAAAAUUAUAUCACUAUGGCCAGGCUCAGUGGCUCACGCCUGUAAUCCCAGCACUUUGGGAGGCCGAGGUGGUUGGAUCGUGAGGUCAGGAGUUCGAGACCAGCCUGGCCAAUAUGGUGAAACCCCGUCUCUACUAAUAAUACAAAAAUUAGCUGGGUGUGGUGGCUCACGCCUGUAGUCCCAGCUACUCGGGAGCCUGAGGCAGAAGAAUCGCUUGAACCCGGGAGGUGGAGGUUGCAGUGAGCCAAGAUCAUGCCACUGCACUCCAGCCUGGAUGACAGAGCCAGACUCCAUCUCAUAAAAAAAAAAAAAAAAAAAAAAAGAAAAGAAAAAGAAAGCAAACUUCAAAAGACUGUGCUACCUUUUGUAUACUGUGCUACCUUUUGUAUAAGGAAGAAGGGGAAAUAUGAAGACAUAAAUGUAUCUGCAGGUUUUUGCCAAGAAAAACAAAGUAUAAACCAGAAACUCAUCAAAUUGAUUACCUGUGAUGGGGGGAUGGGGGAAAAUGAGGAUUGCUUGAGCUCAGGAGGUCCUGGCUGCAGUGAGCCGUGAUCUCGCCACUGCACUCCAGCCUGAGCGACAGAGCGAGACCCUAUCUCAAAAUAAAAACAAAACAGACAGUAUGGGGAAAAUUGAUAAAUUUGGAAUAUAGACUACAAAGUAUUGCAUCCAUGAUAAAUUUCCUGAAUGUGUUAUGACUCUACUGGAGAUAUGGAAGGAUGUAUUCUUUUUUGUGGUUGUUGAGACAGGGUCUCGCUCUUGUCACCCAGGCUGGAGUGCAGCAGUGGGGUCUUGGCUCAAUGCAGCCUCCACCUCCCAGGCUCAAGAGAUCCUCCCACCUCAGUCUCCCAAGUAGUUGUGGCUGGAACUAUAGGUGUGCACCACCACGCCCAGCUAAUUUUUUGUUUCUUGGUUUUUUUUUCUUUUGGUAAAGAUGGGGUUUUGCUGUGUUGCCCAUGCUGGUCUUGAACUGCUGGCCUCAAGCUAUCCACCUGCCUCUGCCUCCCAAAGUGUUGGGAUCACAGAUGUGAGCCACCAUGUCCGGCCAGGGUGUUUUUUUGUUUUGUUUUGUUUUUUGUUUUUUGAGACAGAGUCUCCCUCCCUCUUGUCACCCAGGCUGCAGUGCAGUGGUGAGAUCCCAGCUCACUGCAACCUCCGCCUCCUGGGUUCAAGUGAUUCUCCUGCCUCAGCCUCCCGAGUAGCUGGGAUUACAGGCGUGUGCCACCACGCCUGGCUAAUUUUGUAUUUUUAGUAGAGAGGGGGUUUCUCCAUGUUAGUCAGGCUGGUCUUGAACUCCUGACCUCAGGUGAUCCACCCUCCUUGGCCUCCCAAAGUGCUGGGAUUACAGGCGUGAGCCACUGCGCCCGGCCUAAUUUUUGUAUUUUUAGUAGAUACGGGGUUUCACCACAUUAGCCAGGCUGGUCUUGAACUCCUGACCUCAAGUGAUCUGCCCACCUUGGCCUCCCAAAGUGCUGGGAUUACAGGCGUGAGCCACCAAGCCCAGCCCAGGGUAUAUUCUUAGUAAAUAUAUAAAGAAGUAUGAUGGGGCAACAGAGUGUGAUAGAUGCAACCUACUCUCAAAUGUUUCCAAAAGGCCAGGUGUGGUGGCUCAUGCCUGUAAUCUCAGCACUUUGGGAGGCUGAGGUGGGUGGAUCAUUUGAGGUCAGGAGCUCGAGACCAGCCUGGCCAACAUGGUGAAACCCUGUCUCUACUAAAAUACAAAAAAUUAGCCAGGCGUAGUGGUGCGCGCCUGUAGUUCCAGCUACUCGGGAGGCUGAGGCAGGGGAAUCGCUUGAACCCGGGAGGUGGAGAUUGCAGUGAGCCGAGAUCUUGCCACUGCACUCCAGCCUGGCAACAGAAUGAGUCUCACACACAAACAAGGUUUCCAAAAAAAGCAUAUAUAUAUAUAUAUAUAUACACAUACACACACAUAUAUAUGUAUAAUAUACACACAGAAAGAGAAAAUGCAAAUGUGGCAAAAUAUUAACAACUGGUGAAUCUGGGUAAAUGUUAUCCUGACGUUCUAGACUUUCCUGGAAACGCUAGCCUUUUAACAUCUCUGUACAUUUGAAAUUGUUUCAAAAUAAAGAAUUUGAAGCCCAGGCAUGGUGGCUCACACCUGUAAUCCCAGCACUUUGGUAGGCCGAGGUGGGCAGAUCACCCGAGGUCAGGAGUUCAAGACCAGCCUGAGCAACAUGGAUAAACCCCAUCUCUACUAAAAAUACAAAAUUAGCUGGGCAUGGUGGCGCAUGCCUGUAAUCCCAGCUACUCGGGAGGCUGAGGCAGGAGAAUCGCUUGAACCUGGGACACAGAGGUUGCGAUGAGCCGAGAUCGUGCCAUUGCACUCCAGCCUGGGCAACAAGAGUGAAACUCUGUCUCAAAAAAAAAAAAGAAUUUGCACAUAAGUAGUAAAAUUAGUUCAAAGCUUUUGGAAAUAUAAAAAUAGUAAAAAUUGGCUGGGCACAGUGGCUCACGCCUGUAAUCCCAGCCCUUUGGGAGGCCGAGGCAGGCAGAUCACGAGGUCAGGAUAUCGAGACCAUCCUGGCUAACAUGGUGAAAACCCAUCGCUACUAAAAAUACAAAAAAAUUAGCCAGGAAUGGUGGUGGGCGCCUGUAGUCCCAGCUAUUCGGGAGGCUGAGGCAGGAGAAUGGCGUGAACCCGGGAAGCGGAGCUUGCAGUGAGCCAAGACGGCGCCACUGCACUUCAGUCUGGGUGACAGAGCAAGACUCCGUCUCAAAAAAAAAAGUAAAAAUUGUCCAGGCGCAGUGGCUCAUGCCUGUAAUCCCAGCACUUUGGGAGGCUGAGGCAGGCAGAUCACUUGAGGUAAGGAGUUCGAGACCAGCCUGGCCAACAUGGUGAAACUCCAUCUCUACUAAAAAUACAAAAAUUAGCCGGGCCUGGUGGCAGGCGCCUGUAAUCCCAGCUACUCGGGAGGCUGAGGCAGGAGAAUCGCUUGACCCUGGGAGGUGGACAGAGGUUGCAGUGAGCCGAGAUCAUGCCACUGCACUCCAGCCUGUGCGACAGGUGGAGACUCCAUCUCAAAACAAAAACAGAAAAAAACCCCAACAAACAGAUGAAUGGAUAAAGAAAAUGUGGUACAUAUAUAUAAUGGAGUACUAUUCAGCCAUAAAAAAGAAUGAGAUCCUGUCAUAUGUGACAACAUGAAUGGAACUCGAGGUCAUGAUGCUAAGUGAAAUAAGGUGGGCACAGAGACAAGCUUCAAAAGUUUUCACUUAUUUGUGGGAGCCAAAAAUGAAAAACAGUUGAACUCCUGGAGACAGAGAGUAGAAGGAUGUUUACCAGAGAUUGGGAAGGGUAAUGGAGGCAGGGAAGGCAGAAUGGUUAAUGGGUACAGAGAUAUAGUUAGAUAGAAUAAAUAAGAUCUAGUAUUUGUUUGUAAUGACUUCUGGAUUAAGCAUUUUAAAAAAGAUCUUAGCUGGGCGUGGUGGCACAUGCCUGUAGUCCCAGCUACUCGGGAGGAUGAGGCAGGAGGAUUGCUUGAGCCUGCUGGGAGGUCAAGGCUGCAGUGAGCAGAAAUCACGCCACUGCACUCCAGCCUGAGUAACACAGAGAGACCCUGUCAAAAAAAAAAAGAAAAGGAUUAAAAAAAUUACUUGAUAGCACAACAGGGUGACUACAGUCAACAAUAAUUUAUUGUACAUUUAAAAAUAACUAAAAGAGGGCCAGGCGUGGUGGCUCACGCCUGUCAUCCCAGCACUUUGGGAGGCCAAGGCAGGUGGAUCACUUGAGGUCAGGAGUUCGAGACCAGCCUGGCCCACAUGGUGAAACCCCGUCUCUACUAAAAAUACAAAACUCAGCCAGGUGUGGUGGUGGGUGCCUGUAAUCCCAGCUACUCGGGAGGCUGAGACAGGAGAAUUGCUUAAACCUGGAAGGCAGAGGCUGGGUGUGGUGGCUCACGCCUGUAAUCCCAGCACUUUGGGAGGCCAAGGCAGGUGGAUCAUGAGGUCAGGAGUUCGAGACCAGCCUGACCAACAUGGUGAAACCCCCGUCUCUACUUAAAAUACAAAAAUUAGCCAGGCAUGGUGGUGCACGACUGUAAUCCCAUCUACUCAGGAGGCUGAGGCAGGAGAAUCGCUUGAACACGCAAGGUGGAGGUUGCAGUGAGCCGAGAUUGCACCAUUGCCCUCCAGCCCGGGCAACAGAGAAAGACUGUCUCAAAACAAACAAACAAACAAACAAACAAAAAAACCUGGAAGGCAGAGGUUGCCGUGAGCCAGGAUCUCACCACUGCACUCCAGCCUGGGCGACAGAGUGAGACUCCAUCUCAAAAAAAAAAAAAAAAGGCUGAUCAUGGUGGCUCACGCCUGUAACCCCAGCACUUUGGGAGGCUGAGGUGGGCACAUCACCUGAGGUUGGGAGUUUGAGACCAGCCUAACCAACAUGGAGAAAUCUCUACUAAAAAUACAAAAUUAGUUGGGUGUGGUGGUGCAUGCCUUUAAUCCCAGCUACUUGGGAGCCUGACGCAGGAGAAUCGCUUGAACCCAGAGGCAGAAAUUGCAGUGAACCGAGAUCGCGCCAUUGCACCCCAGACUGGGUGACAAAAGUGAAACUCUGUCUCAAAAAACAAACAAACAAACAAACAAAAAACCCUAAACUAAAAUAGUUUAAUUUGAUUCUUUGUAACACAAAGGAUAAACGUAGGAGGUGCUGGAUACCACAUUUACCCUGAUGUGAUUAUUAUGCAUUGUGUGCCUGUAUCAAAAUAUCUCAUGUACCUUGUAAAUAUAUACACUUACUACGUUCCCACAAAAAAUAAAAAUAAAAAACUAAAAAAAGAGAUAGUUAUCUUUCAUACAAGGAAAGUUCUCACUGUUUCUCCAAAAUGAGACUCACUGUCAUAAUGAUCAUUGCACCAGUUGCUGGCUAUUUUAAUUACUCCUCAAAUUAAGUCAUAGUCUUGAAUGUUCUGCUACCUAAAGGCCGAAUUGUAGAGCUAACCUCCAAUAACUUGUAUAAAAAAUAAGAACGAGGAGAGAAAAAAAAGAAAGCUCUUUCCUCCAUCUUCCCCUGCCACCAAAAUGGCGCAUAUGACUGUCCCGGCUGAUGCUCUCAAGAACAUUGACAGGCUGGGUGCUAUGGCUCAUGCUUGUAAUCCCAGCACUUUGGGAGGCUGAGGCAGGCAGAUCAUGAGGUCAAGAGAUCAAGAACAUCCUGGCCAACAUGGUGAAAUCCUGUCUCUACUAAAAAUACAAAACUUAGCUGGGCGUGGUGGCGCACGCCUGUAAUCCUAGCUACGCGGGAGGCAGGGGCAGGAGAAUCGCUUGAACCCGGGAGGCAAAGGUUGCAGUGAGCCGAGAUCGCACCAUUGCGCUCCAGCCUGGUGAAAGAGGGAGACUCCGUCUCAAAAAGAAAAAAAAAAAAAAUAGAACAUCAACAAUGCCAAAAAGAGAGGCAAAAUGCCAGGUACCUAUUAGGCCAUUCUCCAAAGUCAUCGUCCAGUUUCUAACUGUGAUGAUGAAGCAUGGUUACAUUGGCGAAUUUGAAAUCACUGAUGAUCACACAGCUGGGAAAAUUACUGUAAACCUCACAGGCAGGCUAAACGUGGGAUCAGCCCCAGAUUUGAUGUGCAAAGAUCUAGAAAAAUAGCAGAAUGAUCUGCUUCCAUCCCGCCAGUUUGGUUUCAUUGUACUGACCACCUCAGCUGGCAUCAUGGACCAUGAAGAAGCAAGACGAAAACACACAGGAAGGAAAAUCCUGGGACUCUUUUUCUAGAGAUGUAACACAUAUUUACAAAUAAAAUGCCUAUGGACCAAAUAAAAAAAAAAAGAUGGCUAGCAUGUACAAAUAAAGACAUGAAUAUAUUAUGCAAAAAGGGGCCAGGUGCGGUGGCUCACGCCUGUAAUCUCAGGACUUUGGGAGGCCAAGACGGGCGGAUCACUUGAGGUCAGGAGUUUGAGACCAGCCUGGCCAACAUGGUGAAACUCCAUCUCUACUAAAAAAUACAGAAAUUAGCCAAGCAUGGUGGCACAUGCCUGUAAUCCCAGCUACUCGGGAGGCUGAGGCAGGAGAAUUGCUUGAACCCGGGAGGCAGAGGUUGUAGUGAGCUGAGAUUGAGCCACUGAACUCCAGCCUGGGCGACAGAGUGAGAGUCCA